UACGGAAGGUGCGAACGUUAAUCGGAAUCACUGGGCGUAAAGCGCGCGUAGGCGGUUUGUUAAGUGGGAUGUGAAAUCCCCGGGCUUAACCUGGGAAUUGCAUUUCAAACUGGCCGACUAGAGUACGGUAGAGGGAGGUAGAAUUUCCUGUGUAGCGGUGAAAUGCGUAGAUAUAGGAAGGAAUACCAGUGGCGAAGGCGGCCUCCUGGAUCGAUACUGACGCUGAGGCGCGAAAGCGUGGGGAGCAAACAGG
This 253-nucleotide ribosomal RNA is filed under the name uncultured bacterium. RNAcentral describes it as "partial 16S ribosomal RNA". It matches the Rfam family "Bacterial small subunit ribosomal RNA", at positions 524 to 776 of the family's 1533-position model. The record is from RNAcentral.